RNAcentral lists this ribosomal RNA (255 nucleotides) under Ligilactobacillus salivarius. RNAcentral's name for it is "partial 16S ribosomal RNA". It matches the Rfam family "Bacterial small subunit ribosomal RNA", at positions 1122 to 1378 of the family's 1533-position model. The record is from RNAcentral. Lineage: Bacteria; Bacillati; Bacillota; Bacilli; Lactobacillales; Lactobacillaceae.
CAUUAAGUUGGGCACUCUGGCGAGACUGCCGGUGACAAACCGGAGGAAGGUGGGGACGACGUCAAGUCAUCAUGCCCCUUAUGACCUGGGCUACACACGUGCUACAAUGGACGGUACAACGAGUCGCAAGACCGCGAGGUUUAGCUAAUCUCUUAAAGCCGUUCUCAGUUCGGAUUGUAGGCUGCAACUCGCCUACAUGAAGUCGGAAUCGCUAGUAAUCGCGAAUCAGCAUGUCGCGGUGAAUACGUUCCCGGG